This 1557-nucleotide ribosomal RNA is filed under the name Streptococcus pacificus. Its description in RNAcentral is "bacterial SSU rRNA". It matches the Rfam family "Bacterial small subunit ribosomal RNA". Lineage: Bacteria; Bacillati; Bacillota; Bacilli; Lactobacillales; Streptococcaceae. The record is from RNAcentral.
UUUAAUGAGAGUUUGAUCCUGGCUCAGGACGAACGCUGGCGGCGUGCCUAAUACAUGCAAGUGGAACGCAUUUUGAUCACCGUAGCUUGCUACACCGAUUAAAAUGAGUCGCGAACGGGUGAGUAACGCGUAGGUAACCUACCUUCUAGCGGGGGACAACUAUUGGAAACGAUAGCUAAUACCGCAUAAGACAUUUUAUCGCAUGAUAGGAUGUUAAAAGAUACAAUUGUAUCACUAGGAGAUGGACCUGCGUUGUAUUAGCUAGUUGGUGAGGUAACGGCUCACCAAGGCAGCGAUACAUAGCCGACCUGAGAGGGUGAUCGGCCACACUGGGACUGAGACACGGCCCAGACUCCUACGGGAGGCAGCAGUAGGGAAUCUUCGGCAAUGGGGGCAACCCUGACCGAGCAACGCCGCGUGAGUGAAGAAGGUUUUCGGAUCGUAAAGCUCUGUUGUAAGCGAAGAACAGUGUUAGGAGUGGAAAGUCUAACACAUGACGGUAGCUUACCAGAAAGGGACGGCUAACUACGUGCCAGCAGCCGCGGUAAUACGUAGGUCUCGAGCGUUGUCCGGAUUUAUUGGGCGUAAAGCGAGCGCAGGCGGUUAGAUAAGUCAGAAGUUAAAGGCUGUGGCUCAACCAUAGUACGCUUUUGAAACUGUUUAACUUGAGUGCAGAAGGGGAGAGUGGAAUUCCAUGUGUAGCGGUGAAAUGCGUAGAUAUAUGGAGGAACACCGGUGGCGAAAGCGGCUCUCUGGUCUGUCACUGACGCUGAGGCUCGAAAGCGUGGGUAGCGAACAGGAUUAGAUACCCUGGUAGUCCACGCCGUAAACGAUGAGUGCUAGGUGUUAGACCCUUUCCGGGGUUUAGUGCCGCAGCUAACGCAUUAAGCACUCCGCCUGGGGAGUACGACCGCAAGGUUGAAACUCAAAGGAAUUGACGGGGGCCCGCACAAGCGGUGGAGCAUGUGGUUUAAUUCGAAGCAACGCGAAGAACCUUACCAGGUCUUGACAUCCCUCUGACCGGCCUAGAGAUAGGCUUUCCCUUCGGGGCAGAGGAGACAGGUGGUGCAUGGUUGUCGUCAGCUCGUGUCGUGAGAUGUUGGGUUAAGUCCCGCAACGAGCGCAACCCUUAUUGUUAGUUGCCAUCAUUUAGUUGGGCACUCUAGCGAGACUGCCGGUAAUAAACCGGAGGAAGGUGGGGAUGACGUCAAAUCAUCAUGCCCCUUAUGACCUGGGCUACACACGUGCUACAAUGGUUGGUACAACGAGUCGCAAGCCGGUGACGGCAAGCUAAUCUCUUAAAGCCAAUCUCAGUUCGGAUUGUAGGCUGCAACUCGCCUACAUGAAGUCGGAAUCGCUAGUAAUCGCGGAUCAGCACGCCGCGGUGAAUACGUUCCCGGGCCUUGUACACACCGCCCGUCACACCACGAGAGUUUGUAACACCCGAAGUCGGUGAGGUAACCUAUUAGGAGCCAGCCGCCGAAGGUGGGAUAGAUGAUUGGGGUGAAGUCGUAACAAGGUAGCCGUAUCGGAAGGUGCGGCUGGAUCACCUCCUUU